UACGGAGGGUGCAAGCGUUAUCCGGAUUUACUGGGUUUAAAGGGUGCGUAGGUGGGUAGGGAAGUCAGUGGUGAAAUCUUCGGGCUUAACCCGGAAACUGCCAUUGAUACUAUUUAUCUUGAAUACUUUGGAGGUAAGCGGAAUAUGUCAUGUAGCGGUGAAAUGCCUAGAUAUGACAUAGAACACCAAUUGCGAAGGCAGCUUACUACACAGUUAUUGACACUGAGGCACGAAAGCGUGGGGAUCAAACAGG
Molecule: ribosomal RNA, 253 nt
Filed under: uncultured bacterium
Lineage: Bacteria
Description: partial 16S ribosomal RNA
Rfam family: Bacterial small subunit ribosomal RNA
Source: RNAcentral